GAUGAAUGCUGGCGGCGUGCCUAACACAUGCAAGUCGAGCGGUAACAGGAGUAGUUUACUACUUGCUGACGAGCGGCGGACGGCUGAGUAACGCGUGGGAACGUGCCCCAAAGUGAGGAAUAACUGCCCGAAAGGGUAGCUAAUACCGCAUAUGAUCUUCGGAUUAAAGGAUUUAUCCGCUUUGGGAGCGGCCCGCGUACGCUUAGGUAGUUGGUGAGGUAAUGGCUCACCAAGCCGACGAUCGUUAACUGGUCUGAGAGGAUGAUCAGUCAGACUGGAACUGAGACACGGUCCAGACUCCUACGGGAGGCAGCAGUGAGGAAUCUUCCACAAUGGGCGAAAGCCUGAUGGAGCAACGCCGCGUGCAGGAUGAAGGCCUUCGGGUUGUAAACUGCUUUUAUAAGUGAAGAAUAUGACGGUAACUUAUGAAUAAGCACCGGCUAACUACGUGCCAGCAGCCGCCGUA
This 466-nucleotide ribosomal RNA is filed under the name uncultured bacterium. RNAcentral's name for it is "partial 16S ribosomal RNA". It matches the Rfam family "Bacterial small subunit ribosomal RNA", at positions 28 to 522 of the family's 1533-position model. The record is from RNAcentral.